UUGCCCAUUUAAGACGAUUUGUGUCCUAAAUGACCAACACGGGGGUAGAGGAAUUCUCUCAAAAACCUGGAGUAAAGGCUGAACAUUCCUUGCUUCGGAUCCUGUCGGGAGAAACAAAU
Electrophorus electricus (electric eel) is the source of this 119-nucleotide small nucleolar RNA. RefSeq annotates it as small nucleolar RNA SNORA26. NCBI's taxonomy places the organism in Eukaryota, Metazoa, Chordata, Actinopteri, Gymnotiformes, Gymnotidae. The record is from RefSeq and is a predicted model, not a curated record.